This is a long non-coding RNA of Mugil cephalus (flathead mullet), 2906 nucleotides long. RefSeq lists it as uncharacterized. The record is from RefSeq and is a predicted model, not a curated record. NCBI's taxonomy places the organism in Eukaryota, Metazoa, Chordata, Actinopteri, Mugiliformes, Mugilidae. The transcript is spliced from 3 exons.
CCUGUGGUAGGCAAACAUGUGCCAAUAAUGGGUUCAUAACAAAAGUCAUAACUAGAGUUCUGAAUAUUGUUUCUUUUAUGUAGGUCAGUGCAGAGAUAUUUGGCACAUUGUCUGCGCUUGAGAGAGCCGCUGCUCCGACUUUCACAUGGAUGACGGUCUAUAUUUGCUCCCCGAUUUGAAGACGCUGCAGCUACGAGGACAGAAGGAAAUGUUCUGCAUACUUUGGCCACAGGUUCUGGAAAAUCUGCAAAAAGCAUCUUGUAAUCAGAGGGAAACCCCAGUUUGCAGUGGGUCUGAUGGCGUAGAAGGUGUUAUCGUCGGCGUGCAAAUGGAUACUACAAUACACAGCUGCCUGGUAACGCGUGCGACCUUCCUGUCAGACUCGUUCCUCUAACUCCUGCCUUCACCAUCUCCUGCCAGACCAUGGACACAUGCCAUUUUGGAUGCAAGUUUGUUUCCCCUCAUGUCUUCAACCCAUGCUGCAGCCUAUUCUUUCGCAUAUGGCCGGUUGCCAUGAGUCAGCAGCAGCGGUCAGAGGUUUCCACUCCUAGACACAACAGCCAAUCCGGGAAAAAACAACUCUCUGAUGCCUCAGCCUUCCUAUAUUGUCUGGGAUGAUUCCGAGUCGGGAGAGGGCUAAUUGUUUGGGAUGUCUUUGUAGUGCAGGUUCAUUGCUGCGGAAUGCGGGGAUUUCCUCCCUCGUGGGUAUUUUUAGAUCUCUGUGUGAAUUCAAGAGAGCUCUGCAUAAUGCUGCUCACUGUGGGAUCUCAGGGUGGGGUCUUUACAUUCAUGCACAUGUGUGGGAAUCUGGUCAUAUGAUAAUACAGAGGACGUGACUGUUUGCGGGUGACUGUGUAUCAGUGUGUUUUUUGUGCAGAAUCAUACUCAUGUCAGGCAAAUGGGAAUGAGUGUAGAGCAUGAGACUCAAACCGUGGCUGAUAGAGACGGAUGUUUCAUUUCAAAUUUCACAGUGUGUUUACGCUCCGUUUCCGGUUUGACAGCUCCAGAUUGACCUGCUCAGAACAGGUCUGCGGUGGACACUGCUUGUUCGCUCAAGUGUUUCAAGGAGGCUUCGCAGGGUCACCUGGAGGUCUCUGACCUCCCAGGGUAAUGUUCUCCUCCAGGUCCUUCUCUUUGACAGCGGUCAAUGGGGGCGUCCAUGCAGGGGACAGCCGGGCGGAUGGCCGGGGUGAAAUCGGGGAAUAGACAGGUCAUAUCCAGAUGGACCCGUCACCUCCGAAUCAAACCAAGUUAGAUCUCCUUCCGGUUCUCGCUCACACCCUGUCAACUUUGCUGACAGCGAGUGACACUGUGGCUUGACCUGCCUUCUGCAGAGUUUGGAUGCUGGAUUGUAUAAUUGGCUGUGUGUUGUCAUGAGUAGUUGUGUGUGUGUCUUCCGCAAUAAACCACUUUAUUUUGUGCUGCACUUGUUUAUCAGGAGAAACUCUUCCAAUAUUGAUUGAUCUUCUACAGAAUGAUGAUCUGCUUAUGAAUCCAGCAUGACCAUCGGUUUGUACCUGACAGUUGGUUGCUAGUGGGAACUCCAGGCUCUGGUUGCUUGUGUUACUCUCUUGUUUAUCUCCCACCUCAGGUCCAAAGUGGUGGAUGGUGUUUCCUUGCUAUAAACGUUGCUCCCAUUAGCCGUCGCCAAGAGUUAUGAUUAUUUUAACUUGCAACGCCAGGUUUUUUUUCCACCUAUCUUUGCUACACGUUGCUUGUCUCUUCCUGUGUGUAUGCCCAGGAGUCUCCUGCUUUCGUGCUUUGUGCUUAAUUCCAGCUAACAUGCUCACAAUUUUGUAGCAUGAGUAAGAUUGAGGAGUUUUCUCUAUCUAAUCUCAAGAUAAAAUACACAAUCUCUACUUUCCAUUUUUAUACAGACAGUCAUACAGUUAACAGUCUUGAGACACUGUUUCAGUCUGGACCAGAUAAUCCCAGUUAAUCUCUAACUAUUCCAGACUUUUUGCAAAAAACACCUAUUUAGGACAUACCCAAAGUAAACUGAGUCAUGUUCAUGGACAUGUUGGAGCUGAUUCAUGGUCUUGGUCUCGUUUGAAAGCCAAAACUCUGAGAUUUCUUUCUUAAAAUUCAGAAUCACUCUAAGUGGUAUUGUUCUUGAGUAAUCAGUUGGCACAGCGUUAAAAAAUAAGAAGUUGUUGGGUUCGCCUGAAUUUUUUUUGUUUUGAAAAGCUGUGUUGUUUGUGUCCACUAUGUAUGUUGAAUCCUCUAAUGACUUUUAUCAAUGAAAUCAGAAGAAUUGCAUGCAGCAUUUACUCAAACACAAACUCGUGUACAGAGCUCUGAUUGGCUCAAUGAGCUGCUGCUGUCCCAUAUACGACCCAGAGCAACGUUAAAUUAAGUGAAUUACACUUCACAAUGUAUGGAUCUGAAUUUAAGCCUGUAAAUAAAAAAAUAAAUAAAUGAACACAUCCAAAAACGAAGGCAACUGGACUGUUCAGUUGUAAAUGACAGUUCUAAAUUUAGGUCAUUAGCAGACCCUUGUUAUUUGAGAUUAUAAGUGUGCACUAACCACAGAUGUUUCUAAGAAAAAGAUAAACUCCUCACCAGUCUUUUAGAACUGAAGAAGCCACUUGGAUGAGUAGUGUAAUUAGUGUCUUCAAGAAAACUCAAACAAGUCCAGUUGCCUUUGUUUGAGCUUCGUUUUUGUAUAUGUUAAUUUUUUAUUUUGUAGUAUUUUGUUGUAAAUUCUGAUCCAUCCUUUGUAAAGUGCAAUUCACUCUCUGUCCAGUUUAGUCCAGUUGCCCUCAUUUUAGUUUUGUACCAUGACCUGGAUGACCGAGAAUUUUCACAGUGAAAAAUCUUUAGUAUUAUCUUCCAACUUGUUAAAAAAAACACAUAUUUGUUACUAGUUUUUUAAUCCUCACAUAUUAAAACACGGAAUGAACAAG